Molecule: ribosomal RNA, 492 nt
Filed under: uncultured bacterium
Lineage: Bacteria
Description: partial 16S ribosomal RNA
Rfam family: Bacterial small subunit ribosomal RNA
Source: RNAcentral
AGUGAACGCUGGCGGUAGGCCUAACACAUGCAAGUCGAACGGCAGCACAGUAAGAGCUUGCUCUUACGGGUGGCGAGUGGCGGACGGGUGAGGAAUACAUCGGAAUCUACUUUUUCGUGGGGGAUAACGUAGGGAAACUUACGCUAAUACCGCAUACGACCUACGGGUGAAAGCAGGGGAUCUUCGGACCUUGCGCGAUUGAUUGAGCCGAUGUCGGAUUAGCUAGUUGGCGGGGUAAAGGCCCACCAAGGCGACGAUCCGUAGCUGGUCUGAGAGGAUGAUCGGCCACACUGGAACUGAGACACGGUCCAGACUCCUACGGGAGGCAGCAGUGGGGAAUAUUGGACAAAGGGCGCAAGCCUGAUCCAGCCAUACCGCGUGGGUGAAGAAGGCCUUCGGGUUGUAAAGCCCUUUUGUUGGGAAAGAAAAGCAGCAGGUUAAUACCCCGCUGUUCUGACGGUACCCAAAGAAUAAGCACCGGCUAACUUCGUG